AACUUCCACUUCUGUCCAGGACCUAUAUAAACAUUAGAAUUAAAUUAAUGAGAAGAAUAUCACAUAACAAACUUGAAAAUUUUUUGACUCAAAUAGAAAAUUGCUAAAGGACAUACAGAGUAUAGGCCCCUUACCGUAAGAACUGGUUCUAUGAUUAAAAAUACAGUUUAUAGUAUCUCCAAGUACUGAAUUAUCAGAAAGCCAAGAAGUUUUCUAAUAUUGUUUCAUGGGAAAAAUAUUUUUAGGUUAUCCAUUUUUUAGAAUCUCCUAUCCACUGAGUGUAAGACCUUAAAAACACAGCUCAAAAAAAUAUUGUUGCCCAAUCAUAAACUUUCAUAACCCAUCUGAUGUACAUCCAUAUAUUCACAUAAAAGAUUCAACUUUCAGGAAGUAAAUGAUCACAAAUAUGCAUUCUCAUAUUAAUCCUUAGCAUAUAUCCAGAAGAACUGUGGAGGUGUUGCAACAAGAAGUAUCUAAACUUCUUAACAUGAAGCCCUAAAAAUCCAAAGCACUGGCCCAUAGUUCUAAUGAUGCUUUUAUCUUAUUAUAUGCAUCCAGUGAGUACAUAUUUUAUCAAUAUUA
Molecule: unclassified non-coding RNA, 582 nt
Filed under: Hevea brasiliensis (rubber tree)
Lineage: Eukaryota; Viridiplantae; Streptophyta; Magnoliopsida; Malpighiales; Euphorbiaceae
Source: RNAcentral